GAUAAUGAAGGUCCACAUCAUUCAGGCCCAAAAUGAAGUGUUGGGGUGAAGGGAUGACAGCUGAGGCACUGCCACAAUUACAUCUAGAGGCGAUUCCCUCAGGCUGCUCCAUAUGGCCCUGCAAACUGAAACUGUGCUUCACUGGCAAGAGCGGAGGGGCAUUGAGAUGUGGCCAUUACUCCUGAUGCACCAUCAUUCUUCAGACACUAGAGGCUGCUGUCUUCUUCCCCCCCC
Molecule: long non-coding RNA, 234 nt
Organism: Rhinichthys klamathensis goyatoka
Lineage: Eukaryota; Metazoa; Chordata; Actinopteri; Cypriniformes; Leuciscidae
Exons: 2
Source: RefSeq, a predicted model, not a curated record